This 2187-nucleotide long non-coding RNA is filed under the name Homo sapiens (human). Its description in RNAcentral is "HSALNT0368133". Lineage: Eukaryota; Metazoa; Chordata; Mammalia; Primates; Hominidae. The record is from RNAcentral.
GUCAGGUACAACAGAGACAGCUGUUUGUCCCCCAGUAUCCUUCAGACAAAGCCAUAUAUGAUUGAAGGUUAUCAGUACUGUGCUUUUGGAGGAUUCAGAAGAAGUUAUAUCUGAUUGGGAGAUUGAAAAGGAUUGGCCUGAAGGAGAGGUGGUUUUUGAACUGCAUCUUAAAGGAUGAGGAAACUGAGGCUGAGAGGGUAGAGAACUUUGCCUGAGGUCACUCAGCAGGGACCCACCCAUCACAGUAAAUGCCAGCACUGCUGAUGCCAAAACAAUGUUAUUUGUAGGCCCUCGGAAUUUGUGACCUGAAGGAAGAAGAGCAGGGCCGUGGGAAGUAUGUAACCAGUGUCAUGCCCCUGGUCCCAAGGAAGCAGUGGCUUGGUAAAGAGGGGACCCCCGUCAAUAACUCCCUGUAAUUACUGGGCACCCACUCUGAGCUCCUCAGUGGAAUCCUAAGGUUAAUAAGACUGUCUCUAGCCACUGGGGCUCCCAGCCUGGAGUGAGGUAAGAGGAGUGGAGCCGGCUGGGGAGGGAGACGAACACAUACACAGAAGAUUCAGACACACUUGCAAUGUAUUGCUGGGGAUUCUCCAGCAUUGGCAUGAUGGAGAGGGUGGAGAAUCAUUUGACCGCCUCCGCCUAGGAUUGCAGAGUUCAGCUGGCCAUCAUCCACCAGCCGGGGGACUGUGCACAUCAGUUAACCUCUCCUCUCAGGCCUUGAAAAGCACCAGGCUUAGUACACGUUUGUUAAAUGAAUGCACUGCAGUUUUUUUGCUUGUUAAAGGCAGGUAAUAAUAAUGAUAUUGCUGACUAAGGGCUCCCAUCCACUCCCAGUGAGCCCGGUGCCCCCCCGGGCCUCCUCAGUGAGCUGAGGAGGCUCAGCAGUGCCUGCACGUCCCCUCGCCACAAUGUCAUGUGCCACCUCUUCAAAGGAGGGAUGUACCAGCUAGUGGACGUGACCUUGACUGCAAAGGGCGGCACGCAGCUGAUGUAAUGGUCGCUUAAGUGUUCACAAAUGCCUGAACACCCUGUCCUACCUGGUCCUACCUGGAUGCUGGCCUCAGUAAGCUCCUGGGCUCAUUGAAGAUGAACCUAGCAGUAGUAUUUACACCACUUGUUGUGUGCCCACUGUGGGCCCGGCGCCAUGCCGAGUGCUCUAUGGAUGUGAGAGAAACGGAGGCCCAGAAAGCAGAAAUGAUGUGUUAAGAUCACUCAUCAAGCUGAUGGUACAGAGAUGAGAACACUGAAGCAGUUUUUUCUAAAGAUAGCUGCCUGGCACAGUGGCUCACAUCUGUAGUCCCAGCAUUUGGGGAGGCCAAGGCAGGUGGAUCACUUGAGGCCAGGAAUUCAAGACCAGCAUGGCCAACAUGUGCUGGGAGAGAAAAGCAUACGACAUAGACAGGGAGGUCAAGCUCCACCACGCAGAUGAGGUGCAGGCCACCAGUCUUCCUCUGCCACAUCUCUUUCUGAAAAGGCAGCCUGUGCUGAGAAACCAUGACUGAGUAAGCCAAGCUUUGUUGGCCGCACCUGCCAAGCCACAGGGUGCCUCAGGCUUGGAGCAUCCCGGAGCCAGUUACAACCCAAGACUUCAGCCUUCUGGAAGGUGUUGGGUCAGCCACCCUGAAGGACGAUCCUGCCCAAGUGACAUGCUUUGCUCUUCCUUCUCACCCAGGACUUCACAUUCACCCUUGCAAUCCAUGUGGGGACACUGUUGGAUAGGAGGCGUGGUCCCAGCGUGGUCUCCCUGUCUGGGCCUCUGCCUAUGCCAAAUGUUUGCCUUACGCUGCACACUCAAGAGGUUCCAUGUAUACAGAUGGGAAUUCCAGAGCUACAGAAAAGGCAGCAAGCACCAUGAUUUAAGCUAACCAGUGUGGAUUCACACCUUCCUCUCUCUCUAUCAGUGGCAGAACUACCAGCUAGAGUAAGAAGUGGUUGAUCCAGGACCUAAACAUUCUGGAAACUCUUGCCCACUUCUGGGAGAAAUGACCCAAUCCAUAGUACUAAGCACACCUUAACUUUCGUAGGACGCAGGCAAGUUGUCAUACCGUGUGCCUAAAUAUAGAAAAAUGAUCCACUGGACUAAUAAAGUGUUAAAUAAAAUAUGUCCUGACUGUCUACUUUGACAACAUACUUUCAUAAUGACAAAACUUAAAAAUGUAUAAAGCUAUGGUUUUUAUAUAGUUGAAA